This is a long non-coding RNA of Sinocyclocheilus grahami, 1069 nucleotides long. RefSeq lists it as uncharacterized. The record is from RefSeq and is a predicted model, not a curated record. Lineage: Eukaryota; Metazoa; Chordata; Actinopteri; Cypriniformes; Cyprinidae. The transcript is spliced from 2 exons.
UCAUUUAUAUUCACCAAUAUAACAACAAACAUAUUUUAUUGACAACAUUUUAACGUGAUUAAAAUGUCAUCUAGGGACUUUUUAAAUAUGCAAACAAAUGAUUGAAUCGGGCUUUCAGGGUUGGGUUAGACCAGCCCAAGUGAAACUAGCCCUAUUCUUAACUCUUUUAAACAUUCUUCUUUAAUGUUGAGGGUUUAAUUCCAUUGCUUCUCCUCCUUGUGUGUCCCCCCCCACAGGAUCUGCAGAACGCAUCCGUGCUGGUUUUGGCGAAUAAGCAGGACAUGAAGAACAGCAUGUCUGCUGCAGAGAUCUCUCAGAGUCUGACUCUCAGCUCGCUCAAUGCUCGCUCCUGGCACAUCCAGGCCUGCUGCGCACUCACUGGAGAAGGCUUACCAGCCAGUCUAGAUUGGAUGCGCUCCCGUGUUGUGGCGAAUUAGUCCAGCAACGGUGCUUCUUAAACCUCUGGAACUGCUGAAAGAGAGCUCAGGCCUACUUAAGACUUUUCAUCCAGCUCUCAGUGCCUCUGUCUGAGUAAUCCUCAAAUACUGAAUCCUGGAGGAACGCGCUUCACCCACUUACUCUGGAUACCAGAACGAGCCUGGAGACUGUGUGUGUGUGUGUGUGUGUGAGAAUGUGUGUGUGUAUAUAAACGUUUGUGUUUGUACAUUUAUGUGACUCCGUUCUAGAGGUCCACGUGUUUACAUUACUGACUUUUGCAAUGAUCUGACCUGAUCAUGAUGUGUUGUCGCCACUGUAUUCACCUCCGGCUGUGCUGACGGCUCCGCUUCUCACGUGGAGUUAUUGUCUACAGGCAUCCAUCUCAAAGGGGUGGGGGGGGGUGAUGGUUCACAUGCCUGUACUGACUCAUGAUGAGCCACUAAGCUAUUGAACAAGCAUUACUUGAAGUAUUUAAAGGGAAUUUAUUUUUGUAUGUUCUAUAGAUGUGAGCAUGCAGAAUGGAACAAGUGUUCAAGUAUUUUAUUUUUGAAAGUAUAUUGGAUAUUCAUAGUAUGUUUCUUAUAUGAUUUUGUACAAAAAAAUUUGUGCAAAUAAAAAUCUACUAAAAACA